RNAcentral lists this transfer RNA (77 nucleotides) under Methanobacteriota archaeon. RNAcentral's name for it is "Euryarchaeota archaeon (anaerobic digester metagenome) tRNA-Ile". It matches the Rfam family "tRNA". From Rfam's summary of the family: Transfer RNA (tRNA) molecules are approximately 80 nucleotides in length. The record is from RNAcentral. Lineage: Archaea; Methanobacteriati; Methanobacteriota.
GGGCCCGUAGCUUAGUCUGGCGGAGCGUCAGGCUCAUAACCUGAUGGUCACCGGUUCAAAUCCGGUCGGGCCCACCA